AGCGGCGGAUGGGUGAGUAACACGUGGGGAACCUGCCCCUAAGUCUGGGAUACCAUUUGGAAACAGGUGCUAAUACCGGAUAAUAAAGCAGAUCGCAUGAUCAGCUUUUGAAAGGCGGCGUAAGCUGUCGCUAAGGGAUGGCCCCGCGGUGCAUUAGCUAGUUGGUAAGGUAACGGCUUACCAAGGCGACGAUGCAUAGCCGAGUUGAGAGACUGAUCGGCCACAUUGGGACUGAGACACGGCCCAAACUCCUACGGGAGGCAGCAGUAGGGAAUCUUCCACAAUGGACGCAAGUCUGAUGGAGCAACGCCGCGUGAGUGAAGAAGGUUUUCGGAUCGUAAAGCUCUGUUGUUGGUGAAGAAGGAUAGAGGUAGUAACUGGCCUUUAUUUGACGGUAAUCAACCAGAAAGUCACGGCUAACUACGUGCCAGCAGCCGCGGUAAUACGUAGGUGGCAAGCGUUGUCCGGAUUUAUUGGGCGUAAAGCGAGCGCAGGCGGAAAAAUAAGUCUAAUGUGAAAGCCCUCGGCUUAACCGAGGAACUGCAUCGGAAACUGUUUUUCUUGAGUGCAGAAGAGGAGAGUGGAACUCCAUGUGUAGCGGUGGAAUGCGUAGAUAUAUGGGAGAACACCAGUGGCGAAGGCGGCUCUCUGGUCUGCAACUGACGCUGAGGCUCGAAAGCAUGGGUAGCGAACAGGAUUAGAUACCCUGGUAGUCCAUGCCGUAAACGAUGAGUGCUAAGUGU
This 743-nucleotide ribosomal RNA is filed under the name uncultured bacterium. RNAcentral describes it as "bacterial SSU rRNA". It matches the Rfam family "Bacterial small subunit ribosomal RNA", at positions 94 to 823 of the family's 1533-position model. The record is from RNAcentral.